AAUUAACGAAAUGAAAGAAAAUGACCCGAUGCGGCUACUGAAUCUAAAGGUUCUAAGGAUAGUGUGUCGUAUCCAGGUAUUGCAGGUCCAACGAAUCAAUAAUACAUUCAUUCAUCUGUGGUGAAACUGGAUCAAGGAUUUUCUGCAAAUGCAAGAAACCUCUUCUGCAACUGUAUUUGAUCCAUUGCUGGAUACAAGGCCCGUCCCAGAUUGUUGCAUUUAUUUCAGUUUUCUGUCUUUAGGAACUAUGCCAGUGGAGAUGUGAAAACUGGAUUCAUGAUCAAGCUUGGUAUGAUUGUAUGAAAACUGAAUUUACUAGUACAGUACACACUGUAUAUGUUUACAUUGAUCCUGGUUUUACAAGUGAGUGUUAUCGUAAUGCCUAUUCACAUCCAGCUGCUCUCAUUCCUGAUGUCAAGAAACCGAAUGAAGUUGAUGAAAGCACUAAGAUCAACGCUCCUUCUGUUAUUAAAGGACUUGGAAGACAAAAAAAAAUAGGUAUAUACCUCGUUCUGAGAAGCCAAGAAAGAAACGGAUGUGUGGUAACUGU
This is a long non-coding RNA of Papaver somniferum (opium poppy), 550 nucleotides long. RefSeq lists it as uncharacterized. The record is from RefSeq and is a predicted model, not a curated record. NCBI's taxonomy places the organism in Eukaryota, Viridiplantae, Streptophyta, Magnoliopsida, Ranunculales, Papaveraceae. The transcript is spliced from 3 exons.